Molecule: ribosomal RNA, 155 nt
Filed under: Leptographium procerum
Lineage: Eukaryota; Fungi; Ascomycota; Sordariomycetes; Ophiostomatales; Ophiostomataceae
Description: partial 28S ribosomal RNA
Rfam family: Eukaryotic large subunit ribosomal RNA (bases 55-155)
Source: RNAcentral
UGCGCCCUGCCCCAAAUGACCGGCAGACGCAAGUCUGCCCCUCCUUCUCAAGGUUGACCUCGGAUCAGGUAGGACUACCCGCUGAACUUAAGCAUAUCAAUAAGCGGAGGAAAAGAAACCAACAGGGAUUGCCCCAGUAACGGCGAGUGAAGCGG